GAUGAACGCUGGCGGCGUGCUUAACACAUGCAAGUCGAACGGAAAGGCCCAAGCUUGCUUGGGUACUCGAGUGGCGAACGGGUGAGUAACACGUGGGUGAUCUGCCCUGCACUUCGGGAUAAGCCUGGGAAACUGGGUCUAAUACCGGAUAGGACGAUGGUUUGGAUGCCAUUGUGGAAAGUUUUGUCGGUGUGGGAUGAGCUCGCGGCCUAUCAGCUUGUUGGUGGGGUAAUGGCCUACCAAGGCGUCGACGGGAAGCCGGCCUGAGAGGGUGUACGGCCACAUUGGGACUGAGAUACGGCCCAGACUACGACGGGAGGCAGCAGUGGGGAAUAUUGCAGAAUGGGGGCAAGCCUGAUGGAGCGACGCCGCGUGGGGGAUGACGGCCUUCGGGUUGUAAACUCCUGUCGCUAGGGACGAAGCGGUUUUGUGACGGUACCUGGAGAAGAAGCACCGGCUAACUACGUG
This 468-nucleotide ribosomal RNA is filed under the name uncultured bacterium. RNAcentral describes it as "partial 16S ribosomal RNA". It matches the Rfam family "Bacterial small subunit ribosomal RNA", at positions 28 to 507 of the family's 1533-position model. The record is from RNAcentral.